This 90-nucleotide transfer RNA is filed under the name Gammaproteobacteria bacterium. Its description in RNAcentral is "tRNA-Ser". It matches the Rfam family "tRNA". Rfam says of the family: Transfer RNA (tRNA) molecules are approximately 80 nucleotides in length. Lineage: Bacteria; Pseudomonadati; Pseudomonadota; Gammaproteobacteria. The record is from RNAcentral.
GGUGAGGUGUCCGAGUGGCUGAAGGAGCACGCUUGGAAAGCGUGUAACGGGUCAAACUGUUCGAGGGUUCGAAUCCCUCUCUCACCGCCA